CUCUUGUAUCUCUCACCUUUAAAGAGAGAUACCAGCUGUAACAUUAUACAUAAGAUAAAUGUGUCUUGUGUCCUAGAAAUUAAUCAAUGAAUUAAAUAAUAUAUGAAUUUAAUGAAGUAUUUUAUGCUCUCUUAAGGGACUCACUUGUAUUGUGCAUUACAUUUGUUAUAAUACUUACAGAUUGAGAAAUGUCCGAUGCUGUCUCGUGGCCAAACAACCUUGCUUGGAGGUGUGCUGAAAUGCAUCUGUGGUUUUCACAUUCCAAAGGUAACAUUAAUGUAGCAAGUAUUUUUUGUUAGUAUUAAUUACUGAAAUGGUUUGCUUUCUGAAUUGUUAUAUGUAUGUUUUUUUUUUUUUUUUUUUUUAUUAGCAGCCCACUGCCUCUACUGGACCAGCACAAAGGGUGGUGGAAACAACCUGCUGCUGCUGAAACAGCAAAGAAGGCCAUGGAGCGGAGUCAGCCUGACCCCCAGCCUCAUCCCCUGCCCCAGCCCCAGCCUACUGCACCAGUGGAAGCAAGAGUUGCACCACAAUUUUCAACGUUUACCAAGCCAAGAUUUACUGGCUCUCACCUUGCUGCAGCAAAGCCAAAUCUUAGUUUGGCCAGGAGACCUUCUCAGGUUGAAGACCAGCCCAGCGCAGCAGUGUCUAGUGGCUCUAUACCAAGCACCACUGCCUCUACACCAGAUCCUCAAGUUCCAUGCCCUGUCCCCAGAGCCACUGCAGAUGUGUCCAGUCCCGCUCAGCCAUGCAAUAUUGUCUCA
This is a long non-coding RNA of Cyprinus carpio (common carp), 764 nucleotides long. RefSeq lists it as uncharacterized. The record is from RefSeq and is a predicted model, not a curated record. The transcript is spliced from 3 exons. NCBI's taxonomy places the organism in Eukaryota, Metazoa, Chordata, Actinopteri, Cypriniformes, Cyprinidae.